CAUUGCUCCACCAGGCCCCUCUCUUCAUUGCUCUUUCCAAGCAAAUCAGUCCCCUGGAACUUGUAUUUUUCUGCAAUAUAACUUAUGAUUGCUCGUGAUUCUACACAUUGAAUUGAACCAAUUGUCAUCAAGAUCAGGAAUUACUCCAAAAGGCUUGAAUUGACAGGAAAUAGAAGCAAAGUCAGAGCAAAUCAUGGCCAGAAUGAAUAUACAAAAGAAAUAGGAAAAAAUAGAAACCUGUAAGUUGAGAUAAUCAGGGCUUUUAUUCUCUCCUUUCUUCUUUCUUAAGAUCCACAGGUACAGUUUCAAAUUCAAUACCCUUCUCAAUAAGGCAAAGCAAGACACGAUUGACAGAAGCACAGGCUGCACCAUACACCUUCACUACCAUUUUUCUCCUAUCUCAAACUAGCCAAGCCAAAACUGGGUUAUUGAGAGAAUCUUAGGACUCUGUUUCUAUUCUUGUGGACAAUACAAGGGUUAAUUUGCUUGUCAAUCAUGGAUUACGUACAUCAUAGCUCAAGAAAGUUGAUAGGUGAAGAUUUUAUAGCAUGUGAAAGUUGCACAUGCUCAGUUGAGGUUGGUAGUUGUCCUAUUUUUUAAUGUUCUCUUUCUAUUAUCCCUGGUAUGCAAAAUUCAGAAAUAUUCAGCUUUA
This is a long non-coding RNA of Hevea brasiliensis (rubber tree), 652 nucleotides long. RefSeq lists it as uncharacterized. Lineage: Eukaryota; Viridiplantae; Streptophyta; Magnoliopsida; Malpighiales; Euphorbiaceae. The transcript has 2 exons. The record is from RefSeq and is a predicted model, not a curated record.